UUUCCGUAGGUGAACCUGCGGAAGGAUCAUUACUGAGUGAGGGCCCUCUGGGUCCAACCUCCCACCCGUGUUUAUUGUUCCUUGUUGCUUCGGUGAGCCCGCCUCACGGCCGCCGGGGGGCAUCUGCCCCCGGGCCCGCGCUCGCCGAAGACACACUUGAACUCUGUCUGAAGUUUGCAGUCUGAGCGAAAACUAAAUAAGUUAAAACUUUCAACAACGGAUCUCUUGGUUCCGGCAUCGAUGAAGACGCAGC
Molecule: unclassified non-coding RNA, 253 nt
Filed under: plant metagenome
Description: partial contains small subunit ribosomal RNA, internal transcribed spacer 1, and 5.8S ribosomal RNA
Rfam family: 5.8S ribosomal RNA (bases 206-253)
Source: RNAcentral